UACGGGGGGAGCAAGCGUUGUUCGGAUUUACUGGGCGUAAAGGGCGCGUAGGCGGCGCAACAAGUCACUUGUGAAAUCUCCGGGCUUAACUCGGAGCGGCCAAGUGAUACUGUCGUGCUAGAGUGCGGAAGGGGCUACUGGAAUUCUCGGUGUAGCGGUGAAAUGCGUAGAUAUCGAGAGGAACACCUGCGGCGAAGGCGGGUAGCUGGGCCGACACUGACGCUGAGGCGCGAAAGCCAGGGGAGCAAACGGG
Molecule: ribosomal RNA, 253 nt
Filed under: uncultured bacterium
Lineage: Bacteria
Description: partial 16S ribosomal RNA
Rfam family: Bacterial small subunit ribosomal RNA
Source: RNAcentral